GUUGUAUGGUUAAGUGACUAAGCGUACACGGUGGAUGCCUUGGCAGUCAGAGGCGAUGAAAGACGUAGUAACUUGCGAUAAGCCCAGAUUAGGUAGUAACAACCAUUUGAGUCUGGGAUUUCUGAAUGGGGAAACCCACGUGCAUAAGCACGUAUCCUUACCUGAAUACAUAGGGUAAGGAGGCGAACCGGGGGAACUGAAACAUCUAAGUACCCCGAGGAAAAGAAAUCAACCGAGAUUCCGAAAGUAGCGGCGAGCGAAAUUGGACUAGCCCUUAAGCUUUACACGCGUUAGACGAACGGUCUGGAAAGUCCGACGAUACAGGGUGAUAGUCCCGUAGUUGACGACGUGUGUUCAGUGAAAUCGAGUAGGGCGGGACACGUGAUAUCCUGUCUGAAUAUGGGGGGACCAUCCUCCAAGGCUAAAUACUACUGACUGACCGAUAGUGAACCAGUACCGUGAGGGAAAGGCGAAAAGAACCCCUGUGAGGGGAGUGAAAUAGAACCUGAAACCGUGUACGUACAAGCAGUAGGAGCAGGCUUGUCCUGUGACUGCGUACCUUUUGUAUAAUGGGUCAGCGACUUAUAUUCAGUGGCAAGGUUAACCAUCUAGGGGAGCCGUAGGGAAACCGAGUCUUAACUGGGCGUUCAGUCUCUGGAUAUAGACCCGAAACCAGGUGAUCUAGCCAUGGGCAGGUUGAAGGUUGAGUAACAUCAACUGGAGGACCGAACCGACUAAUGUUGAAAAAUUAGCGGAUGACUUGUGGCUAGGGGUGAAAGGCCAAUCAAACCUGGAGAUAGCUGGUUCUCCCCGAAAGCUAUUUAGGUAGCGCCUCGGACGAAUACUACUGGGGUAGAGCACUGUUAAGGCUAGGGGGUCAUCCCGACUUACCAACCCUUUGCAAACUCCGAAUACCAGUAAGUACUAUCCGGGAGACACACGGCGGGUGCUAACGUCCGUCGUGGAGAGGGAAACAACCCAGACCGCCAGCUAAGGUCCCAAAUUACUACUAAGUGGGAAACGAUGUGGGAAGGCUCAGACAGCCAGGAUGUUGGCUUAGAAGCAGCCAUCAUUUAAAGAAAGCGUAAUAGCUCACUGGUCGAGUCGGCCUGCGCGGAAGAUGUAACGGGGCUAAGUAGUAAACCGAAGCUGCGGCAAUGUGCUUUUGCACAUUGGGUAGGGGAGCGUUCUGUAAGCGGUUGAAGGUGUGUGGUAACGCAUGCUGGACGUAUCAGAAGUGCGAAUGCUGACAUGAGUAACGAUAAAGGGGGUGAAAAACCUCCUCGCCGGAAGACCAAGGGUUCCUGUCCAACGUUAAUCGGGGCAGGGUAAGUCGACCCCUAAGGCGAGGCCGAAAGGCGUAGUCGAUGGGAAACGGGUUAAUAUUCCCGUACUUCUUACAAUUGCGAUGGGGGGACGGAGAAGGCUAGGUGGGCCUGGCGACGGUUGUCCAGGUUCAAGUGCGUAGGCUUAAGAGUUAGGUAAAUCCGGCUCUUUCUAAGGCUGAGACACGACGUCGAGCACCUACGGGUGUGAAGUCAUUGAUGCCAUGCUUCCAGGAAAAGCCUCUAAGCUUCAGAUUGUAAGGAAUCGUACCCCAAACCGACACAGGUGGUCGGGUAGAGAAUACCAAGGCGCUUGAGAGAACUCGGGUGAAGGAACUAGGCAAAAUGGUACCGUAACUUCGGGAGAAGGUACGCUCUUGAUGGUGAAGUCCCUUGCGGAUGGAGCUGACGAGAGUCGCAGAUACCAGGUGGCUGCAACUGUUUAUUAAAAACACAGCACUGUGCAAAAUCGUAAGAUGACGUAUACGGUGUGACGCCUGCCCGGUGCCGGAAGGUUAAUUGAUGGGGUUAGACUUCGGUCGAAGCUCUUGAUCGAAGCCCCGGUAAACGGCGGCCGUAACUAUAACGGUCCUAAGGUAGCGAAAUUCCUUGUCGGGUAAGUUCCGACCUGCACGAAUGGCGUAAUGAUGGCCACGCUGUCUCCACCCGAGACUCAGUGAAAUUGAAAUCGCUGUGAAGAUGCAGUGUACCCGCGGCUAGACGGAAAGACCCCGUGAACCUUUACUACAGCUUGGCACUGAACAUUGACCCUACAUGUGUAGGAUAGGUGGGAGGCUUUGAAGCACGUACGCCAGUAUGUGUGGAGCCGUCCUUGAAAUACCACCCUUGUAGUGUUGAUGUUCUAACGUCGACCCCUUAUCGGGGUUGCGGACAGUGCCUGGUGGGUAGUUUGACUGGGGCGGUCUCCUCCCAAAGAGUAACGGAGGAGCACGAAGGUGGGCUAAUCACGGUUGGACAUCGUGAGGUUAGUGCAAUGGCAUAAGCCCGCUUGACUGCGAGAAUGACAAUUCGAGCAGGUGCGAAAGCAGGUCAUAGUGAUCCGGUGGUUCUGAAUGGAAGGGCCAUCGCUCAACGGAUAAAAGGUACUCCGGGGAUAACAGGCUGAUACCGCCCAAGAGUUCAUAUCGACGGCGGUGUUUGGCACCUCGAUGUCGGCUCAUCACAUCCUGGGGCUGAAGUCGGUCCCAAGGGUAUGGCUGUUCGCCAUUUAAAGUGGUACGCGAGCUGGGUUUAGAACGUCGUGAGACAGUUCGGUCCCUAUCUGCCGUGGGCGUUGGAAGAUUGAAGGGGGCUGCUCCUAGUACGAGAGGACCGGAGUGGACGAACCUCUGGUGUUCGGGUUGUGUCGCCAGACGCAUUGCCCGGUAGCUAAGUUCGGAAUCGAUAACCGCUGAAAGCAUCUAAGCGGGAAGCGAGCCCUGAGAUGAGUCUUCCCUGAUACUUUAAGUAUCCUAAAGGGUUGUCGGAGACUACGACGUUGAUAGGUCAGGUGUGUAAGUGCUGUGAGGCAUUGAGCUAACUGAUACUAAUUGCCCGUGAGGCUUAACCAUACAACACCCAAGGGGUUU
RNAcentral lists this ribosomal RNA (2914 nucleotides) under Vibrio parahaemolyticus. Its description in RNAcentral is "bacterial LSU rRNA". It matches the Rfam family "Bacterial large subunit ribosomal RNA". The record is from RNAcentral. Lineage: Bacteria; Pseudomonadati; Pseudomonadota; Gammaproteobacteria; Vibrionales; Vibrionaceae.